CUACAAUAUGAUAUACUAUCACGUAAAAAUGUGCUUGCGCAUCUGUUCCUGACACACGUGUAACGCAGGUGUCAAAUACAUGUGCGGAGACUAUUAGGCUCUUGCCUUUCUAUUUACUCUUUGUGCACUUCCUAGUCACGUGACCGCCACAGUCCAAUCAGCUGUAGGCAUAUACCGGUUGCCGGAAGUGACUGGUAUGCUGUCAUGCUGUAGUUAAUCUUUGGCAACUCUGCGCACUCCUCCUUUGUCACGUGACCGCUGCGGUCCAAUUAGUGGUGCUUAUAAGCCGAUAGCAGGAAGUAGCCAGGAAACAGGACAUGAGAUCGAUUACAUAUCUGCUCGAGAGCCGACUUCCAGCGCCAAAUUCAUUAAGCUGUGUUUGACUGUAGAAGCUCAAUUGACCUGACGGCGUGUCGUGACAUUGCUGGUUUUACGAGCAGAGGAGCAUGUUCGGCAGCGCACACACACAUGGAAGCAUCCCACGUUCGGGAGUGGCCGGUCAGAGGAGGCAAGAGAGUCGCAGCUGCCACUUUGACAGGUGCACGAGGAACGACGCAAGCUCUCCGCUCAUGUCUACGUGAUUGGACCAUGUGGAGAGUGCAAGCAUACUUCCUGCGGUGCUUUAGCGCUAAACCAUUGGCGAGUCGCAGAGGGAACAUGGAGCCUGGAGUAUCUUCUUGACCCACUGUGGAUCUAAAAGGGAACCGGAUCAUGGCUAUUAUUACUCGAGCACCAACGAUGAGCAAAGGUUGAACAGGAAGUGGAUCAACAUUGUUCUCACCGUCAGGUGCUGGGAGUGCUGAGAUGCUGUCCUGCAAGAGGCAGCGCCGGAAUUUCAGCGCCUGGCACGCCUGGUAAGACAACACGCACCUAAAACAGCCAAGAAAAAGGGUAUUCGAGCCAGCGGUCUUGCACAAACGCACACACACGACGAGGUGGUGAGUGACAAGACAACAAAGCGUGGCGCGUGUGUAAAUGUCAAAACAGGAAAUGGUGUGAUUGCAGCUCCGUGAAGGUAAAUAAACACUUCAUCUGUGUACCUGAACCAAAUGUGGCCAUUUCCGCAUAUGGCUUGUUUGUGGUCGGUGAAAGGCAGCACGUCCUGACACAAGCAGCAGUGCUCCUGGAACGUCUGCUUCUGCAUCUUUUUCUUGAUGUGUCCGAUCAGGACCUAAGUGAACACAAACAGAAGUGAGGUUCAUCUCACUUUGAACCUGCGUGAGGCCAAAAGUUUAUUUAAACCACACAUUUUUUUUUUUUAAUCAAGCCAAACGGAAAUGAGCUAGAAAGGGACAAAUAUGAGCAGUAAAAUACAUUUCAUCCAACUGCAGCCUUUAGAAUAUUUGUUGACUGGCAUUUUUUUCUUGUAUUUACAUAUAGUUAAUGCAAACUCAAACAUUAGAUCACAGGUGUCAAACUCAAGGCCAGGGAGCCAGAUCUGGCCCGCAAAGACCUGGAAAUGUGUCAAUCAAGUACUUAAUAUUCUCUCACUUAACCUCUUAAGGCCCAAGCCGUUUUUUUACAUGCUUUUUAAUUUUUCUCUUUGCUAUUUGGGCUUAUUGGACCAUAAUUAGAAUAAUAACUAAGAAUCAUAUUUUGGUAUGAUGUACUUAGUCCGUAAGUACACAAACGUGUACUUCAUGUUUAGUGUACUGCAAUGUUUUUUUCCCCAACUUCCAUUGUAUGUUAUAGUCUAGUCUUCCGACACCACCAAAUGUCCACAUAAGAGGCCAUAAGACCCCAAUUCAGGAGUGUACACAAUUUUGGAAAUAAGAACUAAAAGGUGCUGUCCACACAUCUGGCCACUAAGCCUUUAAUUAAUUUCAUUUAUUUUUUUCAUUUUCACAGAAAAAUGUACUACUUGAACUUACAUGCCUUUUAAACUUUAAUAGUAUCCUAUAUUGCCACAAAUAUUACAGUAUAUUAUCAUACUUUCAGUACAUGUUUUUGUGAAGUGAAUUGAAGAGAAUUAUAUUUUAUAUAGCGCUUUUCUCAAGUGACUGACUCAAAGCGCUUUACAUAGUGAAACCCAAUAUCUAAGUUACAUUUAAACCAGUGUGGGUGGCACUGGGAGCAGGUGGGUAAAGUGUCUUGCCCAAGGACACAACGGCGGUGACUAGGAUGGCGGAAGCGGGAAUCGAACCUGCAACCCUCAAGUUGCUGGCACGGCCACUCUACCAACCGAGCUAUGCCGCCCCUAAAUGUCUAAAUUAAAAAAUAAAAAAAAUACUUUACAGCAAACUACCCAUCAAAUUGAUAAAAAUUACAAUAAAUGUAACGUUGUUCUUUACAUCAUAUUACUGUAAAUUGAAAAAAAAAUACUGUUUUUGUGUUAAAAUUCUGUUGACUGAGCUGCCAGUUUUUGACUGUAAAAUCUAUGGUUGUAGUUUUUAACGGUGUAUUACUGUAAAUGGAAAGAUAAUGGAAAAACUGGCAGCUAAGUUGCCAGAACAAAAAAAGAACUUUUACUGUUUUUCCAUGAACAAUAUAAUGUGCUAAAAACCAUUGUCAAUUUAACACAAAAAUUCUGGCAAGUAAGCUGCCAGCUUUUUUCGUAAACCCCCCCAUCUGGCAAAAAAAAACAGUGGUACUAUUUUUCCAUUUACCGUAAAAUGUUGUAGAAAAUAAAAACCCACCAUAUUUUACAGUAAAGUUUAUUAAAUGUAAAUGUUUUACUGUAAAACUGACAGUCUACUUAAAACAAUUUAUACAAUUAAUAAUGAAAUCCAGAGGCAUAUUAAUACAUUAUUCACUGUUACUAGUGGCCCUAACUGCCAUGUGGCCCUCAAUGAGAACCAGUUUGACAUGCCUGGUUUAAAUUGUGUAUCAUCGACUUCUCUGAACAGAGCCUGAGGUUGCAAUAAUACAAUAAAACAGAUACAUUCAAGGAAUCAAUUGACUAGAUGAACGUACUACAUUCCCCACGCUGAGCAUUCAUGCUUCAGCAAGUCAUUAAUUAUUUGCGAGAGGAGCGAUCGCAUUAAAUAAAUGAGACGUUUUGGUUGCAUACACCAGUUGUGUGAAUAAUACAACAUUGUGUACAUAUUGUCCUUAUAUUGACACGCGCAUGCUGAUUGUUUUGACUUUUGGACGACUUAAUCUGAUAUUGUUAAUUAGUAUCAAUAUGUAUUUUUUCUUAUAUCGUUUUGCUCCCUUUUUCAAUUGUACUUUGUUGAGAAGUUUAAAGUUUCUAAGAACUUCUGCAAAUACUUUUAGUGAACUUUUCUUUAUUAAAACGACUAGCAAAAAAUUGAUCUUUUUGUGGUGUGAUUGGAGACUCUACUCAUCAGGGUUUCCCGCAGCGCUUUGUUGUAAAGGCGGCCGCCUUAAAGGGAAACAUUAUCACAAUUUCAAAAGGGUUAAAAACAACAAAAAUCAGUUCCCAGUGGCUUAUUUUAUUUUUCGAAGUUUUUUUCAAAAUUUUACACCUCCCGGAAUAUCCCUAAAAAAAGCUUUAAAGUUCUUGAUUUUCGGUAUUUGCAAUGCGACUGUCCAUUUCCCUGUGACGUCAUACAGUGCUGCCAAUACAAACAAACAUGGCGGUUACCACACCAAGAUAUAGCGACAUUAGCUCGGAUUCAGACUCAGUUUUCAGCGGUUUAAGCGAUUCAACAGAUUACGCAUGUAUUGAAACAGAUGGUCGGAGUAUGGAGGCAGAUAGCGAAAACAAAAUUAAAGAAGAAAUUGAAGAUAUUGAGCGAAUAUCUAUUGACGCUAUUCGGCCAUAGCAUGGGUGUACCUAAUGAAGUGGCCCAUAGCAUGGCUGCCUUAUUAGCAUCGCCAGUAAAAUGUGCGGACCAAACGAUCAGGACUUUCGCAUCUUGUGACACUGGAGCAACUUAAAUAUGUCGAUUGGUAAGUGUUUGUUUCGCAUUAAAUCUGGGUAUCUAGUUUCAAAUGUAGAUACAGCUAGCGUAAAUAGCAUGAUAGCAUCGAUUUGCGUAGCAUGUUAGCAUCAAUUAGCUGGCAGUCAUGCCGAGACCAAAUAUGUCUGAUUAGCACAUAAGUCAACAACAUCAACAAAACUCACCUUUGUGAUUUCGUUGACUUAAUCGUUGCAAAUGCAUCUGCAGGUUAUCCAUACAUCUCUGUGCCAUGUCUGUCUUAGCAUCGCUGGUAAAAUGUGCACACUCUGGUACAUUCAAUGGGGGUCUGGCGGCAGAUUUCUUGCCAGUGGUGCAACUUGAAUCCCUCCCUGUUAGUGUUGUUACACCCUCCGACAACACACCGACGUGGCAUGAUGUCUCCAAGGUUCCAAAAAAUAGUCGGAAAUACGGAAAAUAACAGAGCUGAGACCCAAUGUUUACAAUGGGUUGAAAAUGAAAAUUUUUGUAUUACCUUGGCGACGUCACAUUCUGACGUCAUCCCCUCCAGAGCGAUAAACAGAAAGGCGUUUAAUUUGCCAAAAUUCACCCAUUUAGAGUUCGGAAAUCGGUUAAAAAAAUACAUGGUCUUUUUUCUGCAACAUCAAGGUAUAUAUUGACGCUUGCAUAGGUUUGGUGAUAAUGUUCCCCUUUAACAAAAAAGAGUCACCGCCUAAAGUCUUAAAAAAAAAAAAAUGUAAAUGUAUUUUUUUUUUUUUGGUCCUGUCUAGCUCUGCGGGUUAGCAGAAAGGUGUUUAGCAGGUGAGCAUAAUGUAGUGGACUCUCCCCAAAUUAUAAUAAACACCUCCCAGUCAACUACUAUUAACAUCACUAUGAGCCCGUUGACGCUCUUGAAAUAUAAGCGGCAGCUCAGCUCGCUCGCAGUCCUUGAAGUGAAGGCUAAUUACCGUUUAAGCGUAACGUUAGCUCAUUUUGCAGUGGGUGCACACGGGUGUGUGUCAUGGACAGCAAAACCCUGUCUGUCUGAGAGAAAGACAAGCAUUAUUGACUUACAGUUAACAACUAAGUUAUUUCACUUUACCAUUUUCCGUGUUGAAGCAGCAAAGACAGGUCAAACUACACUGUUCCUUGCACCCGCCCAACCUCUUCCCUGUCCUCCCGGGCGACUACCCCUUAAAUAGACACCACCUUAAAUAACAAAUAUUCCGGGGGAAACACUGCUCAUGUUUAUGUCAAUGCCAAUUUUGCCUGUCAUUCACAAUCCCCAUGUAGGACAAGAACAUUUAUGUUUUUAUUUUUUUCUAUGGAUUCUAAUUUGUAAAAUAUCGUACGUACAAGGUGGCUAACAAUGCAGCUAAUAGGAGUACUCUAUAGCACCCAUAACAUUUGGCACACACCUUUAUGUUCCCUAAAGCUGUUGAGCUGAUGAUGGUCAAGAUUCGGAAUUUCUAAAUCAGAGCUUUUUAUAAAGAAUCUGAAAUGUAUGACUAGAAAAGAUGAGGAUAUUACCUCCACGUCCUUGUCGCUGGUAUCUUUUGAGAGGUGGUCGGCCAGGCCCAACGUGGGGACGCAUGUGUUCUCUGUGAUCCGCGUGUUAAGGUAAACCACACCGAGCAGUUUCUUCAUGUUCUUGUUGACCAGGUGGGUCUCCACUGAAUCUAUCAAUGCCUUCGCCCGCUCCAUCCGCUCCUCUGGAUUCUCCAGCGUCGCCGCUUUGACGGCAGCGGCCUGCUCGCACUCGUUUUCCAAAUCUUCCUCCUCGUCUCCGUCCUCUUCCUCCUCGUCGAGCACGGGCGCCUUGCCGGCCUCGUCGGACGGUUUCCAGUGGUGAUCCGUCAGCGGCGUCUGGAGCGACUGGUACAUCACGCGAGCCAAAAACAGCUUCAAGCGCCACAAAUAGGGAGAGUCUACGUCCUGGAUCUUCUGUUCGAGCUCUUGCUGCAACGCCUCUGGAAUUCUUUUGUCUUUUAGGAUGGCCCACCUGAUGAUAUCUAGCAGGUCGGCCUGCUGGUACAGGUUCUGCGUGGGGGAUUUUAACAGAAGUCCCGCCGCCGUUUCCGGCGAUUUCAAGGCAAUGAAGUGCACCUGGUAAUUCCUAUCAAUGGGAUGAAACAUGUCCACCAUUCCUUGAGUGCUGGCCAGUGCGACGUAGGCUCCGUUGCUGCUCACCGCGAUACCGUGCAGCCGCCUCUCACCUAGAAACUCGGGGCCCAGCAUGUCCUCUCGGUCGAAAAACAGAGUCUUUUCUGUAAAUUUAGGCGUCAGCUUUUUCACCCAGCCGUCCAAGUAGCAUGCGUACACCACCCCCUGCUUGGUGACGGCAAGCGAGGCGACGGGAAGCGAGUGGAGGCCCAACACGUGAGAGUUGUACACGUUUAGUCCACUAGGGGAAACCAUGAGCAAACACCAGUAGAUGUAGCAGCCGCGAGCGGCCACGAUGAGGCUGCAGCUCAAUUUCUGAACGGGGUGGACCAAAGGCACGCAUGUGAUGCUUUCAGCAGGGAUGUGGUCAGACUCCUUCCAGAGGAUGACAGGGUGACGCAGGGUGAAGUAGCCCUUAACCCCCGCCAUGCUGACUGGCAUGAUCUUAACGCUGCCCAGCUCGCUGCCGACGAUCAACCCGCUCAUCCGUCUGUCGGCGUUUUCGUACUCCCACCACGCCAGAUCGCUGGGUCUGCUCACCCCGGACU
Long non-coding RNA from Nerophis ophidion (straightnose pipefish), 6514 nucleotides. RefSeq lists it as uncharacterized. Lineage: Eukaryota; Metazoa; Chordata; Actinopteri; Syngnathiformes; Syngnathidae. The transcript is spliced from 6 exons. The record is from RefSeq and is a predicted model, not a curated record.